Molecule: ribosomal RNA, 254 nt
Filed under: uncultured bacterium
Lineage: Bacteria
Also listed under: 1 other name
Description: partial 16S ribosomal RNA
Rfam family: Bacterial small subunit ribosomal RNA
Source: RNAcentral
UACGUAGGGGGCGAGCGUUGUCCGGAUUCAUUGGGCGUAAAGAGCUCGUAGGCGGCUUGGCAAGUCGGGUGUGAAAACUUCAGGCUCAACCUGGAGCGGCCACUCGAUACUGCCAUGGCUUGAGUCCGGUAGGGGACCACGGAAUUCCUGGUGUAGCGGUGAAAUGCGCAGAUAUCAGGAGGAACACCGGUGGCGAAGGCGGUGGUCUGGGCCGGUACUGACGCUGAGGAGCGAAAGCGUGGGGAGCGAACAGG